GUCUCUGUGGCGCAAUCGGUUAGCGCGUACGGCUGAUAACUGGAUGGUUGGUGGUUCAAGCCCACCCAGGGACG
Danio rerio (zebrafish) is the source of this 74-nucleotide non-coding RNA. Lineage: Eukaryota; Metazoa; Chordata; Actinopteri; Cypriniformes; Danionidae. The record is from Rfam.